Molecule: long non-coding RNA, 1378 nt
Organism: Crotalus tigris (Tiger rattlesnake)
Lineage: Eukaryota; Metazoa; Chordata; Lepidosauria; Squamata; Viperidae
Exons: 3
Source: RefSeq, a predicted model, not a curated record
GGAAACCUCUCCCUUUCCCCUCAGCAUGGCUGGCUCAGGAAUUCGGGGAGUUGAAGUCCACGUGUCAUAAAAGAGUCAAGGUUGCCUACCCCUGGCCUUGGGCAACACUGGGACCCCAUCUCCUUCCAAAGCUUUUGGGUAAUUCAGGCCUACUGUAUUCAACAGCUUACAGGGAGGGGAGAGGCUGCUGUUAUCGCCAGAGACAGAAUCCUGACCUUGGUCAUGCCAGGGUGUGUCAGAAUCCUAGACACUUCUUUUUAAAGAAAAAGAAACAACCCACUUUAAUAACAAAUAACUACUUUAAACUGAGCGCUAAUUUCUGUCGUAACAGAAAACGCUUAUCAUAAAAACUUGUCACAACAAAGACUAAAACACGAAGAACGAUUGCAGGAGCUGCUAUGGCUAGAGUAGAGAAAAGAAAGACUAAGGGGGACAUGAUAGCCGUGUUCCAAUAUUCGAGGAGUUGCCACAAAGAAGAGGGGAUCGACCUAUUCUCCAAAGCACCUGAAGGCAAGACAAGAAGUAAUGGACGGAAACUAACCCAGGAGGGAACCAACCUGGAAUUAAGGAGACACUUCUAACCGUGGGAACAAAUUAACCAUGGAACUGCUUUGCCUUCAGAGGUUGUGAGUGCUUCAUCUCUGGAGGGAGGAACACUAAAAAAUGGAUUUAAAUGACAGGAAAACAGAUAAAUCCAGCUGAAUGAGGAAUUUCCUGAGAAGAGCAACUGGAGAAUGGAAACAAUGACUCUUGAUUUAGAAGGGGCCUGAUGCUCUAAAUCAGGUGUUGUGAUCCUUUCUCCUAUCAGUUCCCUUAAUUCUACAACUUAGAGAUCGCAGUUUGUAAAUUAUACAAGUAGGAUUCAUAUCACACGAGUGGUUUUUUUUUUUGUAAAAAAAAAAAAGGUGCCGGAACUCACACACAUCAUACAACCUGUCUUGCCUUACCCUACAAGGUUUAUCUUUUGUAGUUGAAAAAAAAAACAUUCAAUUUUUAGUAUAUCUAAAAGACUAGGAUUUUGUUCAAGGUUAAGUGAAUACUAGUAUCAAUGUUACCAUGCAGUGUAGUUGUGGCUCUGAUCAGACAACUUAACAGACCAACUGAAAGUCUAGCGGCUGCACACAGCAUGCUCAGAAUGGGACAAUUUGAUGUGGCCAAUUCGCCGUGGCCAACUCACCAAGGACACCUCUCAGCAAGACAACGCAUCACGGGACAACUUGCUGCAGGACAAUUCAACAAUUCAAGUAUUUAAAGCCAUCAGGCGUGGUGGGACGGCCCUUCAUCUUUUUCCAGAAUACUGCUAUUUCCCCAGGAAGAUCUUCAUUUCUCUUGAGCUCUGAUCUCCUGAGAAUACAGUGAACCGUCUACUGGUUUUUCA